AGAGUGAACGCUGGCGGUAGGCCUAACACAUGCAAGUCGAACGGCAGCACAGUAAGAGCUUGCUCUUAUGGGUGGCGAGUGGCGGACGGGUGAGGAAUACAUCGGAAUCUACCUUUUCGUGGGGGAUAACGUAGGGAAACUUACGCUAAUACCGCAUAAGACCUUCGGGUGAAAGCCGGGGACCUUCGGGCCUGGCGCGGAUAGAUGAGCCGAUGUCGGAUUAGCUUGUUGGCGGGGUAAAAGCCCACCAAGGCGACGAUCCGUAGCUGGUCUGAGAGGAUGAUCAGCCACACUGGAACUGAGACACGGUCCAGACUCCUACGGGAGGCAGCAGGUGGGGAAUAGUUGGACAAGUGGGCGCAAGGCCUGAUCCAGCCAUACCGCGUGGGUGAAGAAGGCCUUGGGUUGUAAAGUCCCUUUUGUAGGAAAGUAAGUCCUAGCCGUAUUAAUACUCUAGUAGGAUAGACCGGUAACCAAAGAUAAGC
Molecule: ribosomal RNA, 485 nt
Filed under: uncultured soil bacterium
Lineage: Bacteria
Description: bacterial SSU rRNA
Rfam family: Bacterial small subunit ribosomal RNA
Source: RNAcentral